AAAAAAUAUUUUUUAUAUGUUAUAUUUUCAUAUUUCGAAAUUUUGAGGACUAAAAUGAAAUAUAUUUUAAAUUCAUAUUUUAUUUGGGUUAAAUAAUUAAAUUUUAAUAGAGUGGAUACGAAAAGGUCGAUUCGAAUAUUUCAACUCCAAGUUAUUUCAUUUCGAAAGGGUUGUUUGAAACGAGCUUUUCAUUUCAAUUAAAGUCUUGAAGGAAAACGUGCUACUGCCACGUAAUGGGUGUUUGGGAGUUUUUAAUAAUUUAUUUAUUUAUUUAUUUUGAUUUGAAAUUUGGUCAGGGUAGAGUUCCAUGUGUAAAAAAUGAUAGAAUAGGUAGGUUACCUUUAUAUUAUUUAAUUGCCUAGAUUUUAGGGAUUAUUUGCUUGAAUUGUGUGAUUGAAUUGACAGGUGAGGUUAGAUAAAAUUUGCUUUAAUUUUGGGGAUUGAAUAGGUUGUCAAUUAAUUUUAUUUUAACAUUAAGUAUUUGCUUUGAUUUUUGGGAAUUCAUAAGUAUAGCUUCCCCCGUGUUUCUUGAAUGGGAAAGGAAAUGGAUUAUAACGGGAUUGGAACUGUUUGGGGGUGGAAACAUGGCACUUUGCAUUUUUGGCCUCCAAUAUUCCAUUUUCACCUUUAUAAUACCAUACGAAGGUUCUUGUUAUUUACCCUAGAAAAUUUAGAUACACAUAUACAAUGGCAGUAGCAACAUUUACAAAAAUAAGUUUGGAACGGAUUUUGAAUUUUGCCUUUCAAAAACUAUUUUAUCUCACGAGGUUGGAUUUCGAGGUGCAAGUGGUUAGUCCCGUUUAAUUUUAUUUCCUCAUGUUGAUAGAUAUUAUGCUAAUGAAAAUUAUGAUAUGACAUGAAAUGG
Molecule: long non-coding RNA, 865 nt
Filed under: Olea europaea subsp. europaea
Lineage: Eukaryota; Viridiplantae; Streptophyta; Magnoliopsida; Lamiales; Oleaceae
Source: RNAcentral